RNAcentral lists this ribosomal RNA (1499 nucleotides) under uncultured rumen bacterium. Its description in RNAcentral is "bacterial SSU rRNA". It matches the Rfam family "Bacterial small subunit ribosomal RNA". The record is from RNAcentral.
AGAGUUUGAUCCUGGCUCAGGACGAACGCUGGCGGCGUGCCUAACACAUGCAAGUCGAGCGGGGAUGCAUUGGAUGAGAGCUUCGGCAGGAUUUCGGUGUAUUCUAGCGGCGGACGGGUGAGUAACGCGUGAGCAAUCUGUCUCAGACAGGGGGAUAACGCAGCGAAAGUUGCACUAAUACCGCAUGAGACCACAGAGCCGCAUGGCUAAGGGGUCAAAGGAGCAAUCCGGUCUGAGGUGAGCUCGCGUCCUAUUAGGUAGUUGGUGAGGUAACGGCCCACCAAGCCGACGAUAGGUAGCCGACCUGAGAGGGUGAUCGGCCACACUGGAACUGAGACACGGUCCAGACUCCUACGGGAGGCAGCAGUGGGAAUAUCGCGCACUGGGCGAAAGCCUGACCCAGCAACGCCGCGUGAGUGAAGAAGGUCUUCGGAUUGUAAAUCUCUGUCCUAAGAGAAGAGGGGAAGACGGUAUCUUAGGAGGAAGCCCCGGCUAACUACGUGCCAGCAGCCGCGGUAAUACGUAGGGGGCGAGCGUUGUCCGGAAUGAUUGGGCGUAAAGGGCGUGUAGGCGGUCUGUUAAGUCUGGAGUGAAAGUCCUGUUUUCAAGAUGGGAAUUGCUUUGGAUACUGGCGGACUUGAGUGCAGGAGAGGUUAUYSGAAUUCYCGGUGUAGCGGUGAAAUGCGUAGAGAUCGGGAGGAACAYCAGUGGCGAAGSCGGGUAACUGGACUGCAACUGACGCUGAGSSSSGAAAGUGUGGGGAGCAAACAGGAUUAGAUACCCUGSUAGUCMMMMYKKWAACGAUGAAUGCUAGGUGUAGGGGGUAUCGACCCSUUCUGUGCCGCAGUAAAMMMMAUAAGCAUYCSGCCUGGGGAGUACGGCCGCAAGGUUGAAACUCAAAGGAAUUGACGGGGGCCCGCACAAGCAGCGGAGCAUGUGGUUUAAUUCGACGCAACGCGAAGAACCUUACCAGGUCUUGACAUCCAGUUAAACCUGUAGAGAUACAUCGUGUCUUCGGACAAACUGAGACAGGUGGUGCAUGGUUGUCGUCAGCUCGUGUCGUGAGAUGUUGGGUUAAGUCCCGCAACGAGCGCAGCGCGUGCUGAUAGUUACUAACGCGUAAAGGCGAGGACUCUAUCAGGACUGCCGGGGACAACUCGGAGGAAGGUGGGGACGACGUCAAAUCAUCAUGCCCCUUAUGACCUGGGCUACACACGUGCUACAAUGGCCGUUACAAAGAGGUGCGAAACCGCAAGGUGGAGCAGAUCUCAAAAAAGCGGUCUCAGUUCGGAUUGUGGGCUGCAACCCGCCCACAUGAAGUCGGAGUUGCUAGUAAUCGCGGAUCAGCAUGCCGCGGUGAAUACGUUCCCGGGCCUUGUACACACCGCCCGUCACACCAUGGGAGUUGAUAGCACCCGAAACUGGUGAGGUAACCGCAAGGGGCCAGCCAGCUAAGGUGAGAUCAAUGACUGGGGUGAAGUCGUAACAAGGUAACCGUA